This is a non-coding RNA of Pelobates cultripes (western spadefoot toad), 279 nucleotides long. NCBI's taxonomy places the organism in Eukaryota, Metazoa, Chordata, Amphibia, Anura, Pelobatidae. The record is from the annotation of a GenBank genome assembly.
CUUAGGCCCCACUCAGGGUCCCCCUCCCUUGGCACUGAAGGGGUUAAAACCCCUUCAGUUACCUUAAUCCAGCUCCGCACUCCCUCGGCGCUGGUGACCUCUCCUCCACCGCCGUCAGCUCCCGGGUGGAGCGGAAUGGAUUUUCGCAUCCAGCGUCGCAGAAGCGCCUCUAGCGGGUUUCAGGAAGACAGCCAUUAAAGGUUUACAGAAACCGCUAUGUUUACAUCGGAGGUGUUAAAACCUGGGGUCCUGGCACCCAGACCACUUCAUUGAGGAGAG